CCUACGGGAGGCAGCAGUAAGGAAUAUUGGUCAAUGGACGAAAGUCUGAACCAGCCAUGCCGCGUGAAGGAUGAAGGCCCUCUGGGUUGUAAACUUCUUUUAUAGGGGACGAAAAAAACGGGAAUUCUUUCCCACUUGACGGUACCCUAGGAAUAAGCACCGGCUAACUCCGUGCCAGCAGCCGCGGUAAUACGGAGGGUGCAAGCGUUAUCCGGAUUUACUGGGUUUAAAGGGUGCGUAGGUGGGCAGUUAAGUCAGUGGUGAAAUCUCCGAGCUUAACUCGGAAACUGCCAUUGAUACUAUCUGUCUUGAAUAUCCUGGAGGUGAGCGGAAUAUGUCAUGUAGCGGUGAAAUGCUUAGAUAUGACAUAGAACACCAAUUGCGAAGGCAGCUCACUACGGGAUUAUUGACACUGAGGCACGAAAGCGUGGGGAUCAAACAGGAUUAGAUACCCUGGUAGUCCACGCCCUAAACUAUGGAUACUCGACAUCAGCGAUACACUGUUGGUGUCUGAGCGAAAGCAUUAAGUAUCCACCUGGGAAGUACGAUCGCAAGAUUGAAACUUCAAAAUGAAUUGACGGCUUGAGACGNGCGAGAGACACAGGAGAGG
This 610-nucleotide ribosomal RNA is filed under the name uncultured bacterium. Its description in RNAcentral is "bacterial SSU rRNA". It matches the Rfam family "Bacterial small subunit ribosomal RNA", at positions 338 to 943 of the family's 1533-position model. The record is from RNAcentral.